UACGUAGGGUGCAAGCGUUGUCCGGAAUUAUUGGGCGUAAAGAGCUCGUAGGCGGCUCGUCGCGUCGGCUGUGAAAACCUGGGGCUCAACCCCGGGCCUGCAGUGGGUACGGGCAGACUAGAGUGCGGUAGGGGAGACUGGAAUUCCUGGUGUAGCGGUGAAAUGCGCAGAUAUCAGGAGGAACACCGGUGGCGAAGGCGGGUCUCUGGGCCGUAACUGACGCUGAGGAGCGAAAGCGUGGGGAGCGAACAGG
This 253-nucleotide ribosomal RNA is filed under the name uncultured bacterium. Its description in RNAcentral is "partial 16S ribosomal RNA". It matches the Rfam family "Bacterial small subunit ribosomal RNA", at positions 524 to 776 of the family's 1533-position model. The record is from RNAcentral.